This 568-nucleotide ribosomal RNA is filed under the name Plumularia spiralis. Its description in RNAcentral is "partial 16S ribosomal RNA". It matches the Rfam family "Bacterial large subunit ribosomal RNA", at positions 1833 to 2597 of the family's 2925-position model. The record is from RNAcentral. Lineage: Eukaryota; Metazoa; Cnidaria; Hydrozoa; Leptothecata; Plumulariidae.
GCCCUGGGAUAAAUCCAAGGUGACACCUGCCCAAUGGUCUAAAACUCUAUUUAAAAGUAGGAAAAUUAACUUAAUGGCUGCAGUAUUCCUGACUGUAUUAAGGUAGCACAAUCAAUCGCCACUUAAUUGGUGGAUGGUAUGAAUGGUAUAACGAGAGUUUCACUGUCUCAAGUAUAUAAAGAAAAAAAUUGAAAUAAUAGUCAAGAUCCUAUUUAAAAUCGUAAGACGACAAGACCCUAUAAAGCUUUACUGUUAAUAUUCAAAAAAGAAUACAAGACAGUUUACUUGGGGCAAGGACUUUUUAAAAAGAAAAAAAGUAAACAAAAUUAAUAAACAAAAUUUAUUGUAUAAACCAUGAUUUUAACAAUUACUAAGUAGGUUAUAAUGACCUGUUAACAUUGAAAAAAAAAGUUAACAAUCAAUUGAUAAAAGCUACUUUAGGGAUAACAGGAUAAUUUCAUCAAAGAGAUGCUAUCACUGAUGAAGUUUGUCACCUCGAUGUUGAAUUAAGAUAACCUAACGGAGCAAAAGCUGUUAAAGGUAGGUCUGUUCGACCUUUAAACAUCUU